This 315-nucleotide signal recognition particle RNA is filed under the name Methanosarcinales archaeon. RNAcentral's name for it is "signal recognition particle sRNA". It matches the Rfam family "Archaeal signal recognition particle RNA". The record is from RNAcentral. Lineage: Archaea; Methanobacteriati; Methanobacteriota; Methanomicrobia; Methanosarcinales.
UGGCAAGCUAGCUUGGGUGGUUCGGCGUCACCUAUAACCUGAAAUCGUCGAUAUGCAGGAAGCGAAGCCAAGGGAAGGCGUUUCAAUUACCAUUCAAGCCCAAUAACUUUACUAUGAAACUCCGUCCUAUGGGGAUGGCGUUGAUAGGAGGGCUUAUUGGAGAAUAGGUUUUCCUAUCUUUACUACAAGCACCGGUUUAGGCCCGGAAGGGAGCGGACCUAUUGUAGACAACCAUCGCUCAUGGGGGCGCGGAGUGGAGAAGAGUUCUUGGAUCACUGUUUGGUAAAAGGGCGUCAACCUGCGGCGUGCUUGCCA